UACGGAGGGUGCAAGCGUUAUCCGGAUUUACUGGGUUUAAAGGGUGCGUAGGUGGGCAGGUAAGUCAGUGGUGAAAUCUCCGGGCUUAACUCGGAAACUGCCAUUGAUACUAUCUGUCUUGAAUAUCCUGGAGGUAAGCGGAAUAUGUCAUGUAGCGGUGAAAUGCUUAGAUAUGACAUAGAACACCCAUUGCGAAGGCCGCUUACUACGGGAUUAUUGACACUGAGGCACGAAAGCGUGGGGAUCAAACAGG
RNAcentral lists this ribosomal RNA (253 nucleotides) under uncultured bacterium. RNAcentral describes it as "partial 16S ribosomal RNA". It matches the Rfam family "Bacterial small subunit ribosomal RNA", at positions 524 to 776 of the family's 1533-position model. The record is from RNAcentral.